CGGACCGGCGCACGGGUGAGUAACACGUAUGCAACCUGGCCGUGACAGAUGGAUAACCGGGAGAAAUCCCGCCUAAUACAACAUAAUGCCGGGAGGGGACAUCCCCUGCCGGUCAAAGGGGGCGACCCCGGUCAUGGAUGGGCAUGCGGCGCAUUAGGUAGUUGGUGGGGCAACGGCCCACCAAGCCGACGAUGCGUAGGGGUUCUGAGAGGAAGGUCCCCCACAUUGGAACUGAGACACGGUCCAAACUCCUACGGAAGGCAGCAG
RNAcentral lists this ribosomal RNA (267 nucleotides) under uncultured bacterium. RNAcentral describes it as "partial 16S ribosomal RNA". It matches the Rfam family "Bacterial small subunit ribosomal RNA", at positions 91 to 354 of the family's 1533-position model. The record is from RNAcentral.